AUGGGAUUGUUCAAUUCUAUCAAUUCUUCAUUUCCUAUUACCAGAAAUCCUGUUUGGGGGUUUCAAUAUAUGAAAGGUAAAAAGAUCAGAAGGCAACACAGAAGCAGGUAAAUAUUGACAGAUCCAAAGCACAUACCAGUGUCCUACUGAGAGUAAAAACAACUGCCUGUGCUGCUCAGGGACCAAGUCAAUCCUAUGGAUGGGAGCUGUCAGGGACCUCAGCUACCACAGGAAGAGUUCACAGCAGAUCCCACAGGUGGCCUGCCCUGUUCUCAAGCUGUUCAUCUCACUGAGGCCCCACCAAGCCAUGGUCUGCAGCUUUGAACCUUUUCCUGAAAGGAGACACACUGACUAUGGUAUGCUGCAUGGUGAAGGAAAAGAAGUUGUUUCUAGCUCAGUUUUGUGGUAUGUAAUAUGAGGAAGUAAUGAAGAUGACUGACUGAAGCAGCAGUAAAAAUGACCGGGAGAAGGAACAUAAAUGGUUGUGAAAACUGGCAGAGGUAAAGGUAACUAUCUCAUGGAAAUUAUUUACAUGCAGUUUCUUAAUUAAGUUGUCUAGAUAUGGAACCCUUUGUUUUCAGGUUAUUCCCAGUGUUUUCAAGGGUCAGUUUAGAAGGAUCUGAUUUAACAACCUCAUUUUUGACAUGGCUCUGAAAAUAAGAGACUGUGGACAAGGUUUUUUAACAGAAAUUUCUGGGAUGUAUUCAAAGAGGAUGAAUUGGGAUAUCAUAAAGGGAGAAUGAGGUCA
Falco peregrinus (peregrine falcon) is the source of this 748-nucleotide long non-coding RNA. RefSeq lists it as uncharacterized. The record is from RefSeq and is a predicted model, not a curated record. The transcript is spliced from 4 exons. NCBI's taxonomy places the organism in Eukaryota, Metazoa, Chordata, Aves, Falconiformes, Falconidae.